CCUACGGGUGGCAGCAGUGAGGAAUAUUGGUCAAUGGCCGAGAGGCUGAACCAGCCAAGUCGCGUGAGGGAUGACGGCCCUACGUGUUGUAAACCUCUUUUGUCGGGGAGCAAAGAGAGUCACGUGUGGCUCAGUUAGAUUACCCGAAGACAAACCAUCGGCUAACUCCGUGCCAGCAGCCUCGGUAAUACGGGGGAUGCGAGCGUUAUCCGGAUGUAUGGGGUUUAACGGGUGCGCGGGGGGGGGUGCCAGUCAGUGGUAAAAGUGCGGUGCUCAACCCCGUACUGCCUUUGAAACUGCAUGCCUUGAGUGAGCGAGAAGUAGGCGGAAGGAGUGGUGUAGCGGUGAAAUGCAUAGAUAGCACGCAGAACAUCGAGGGCGAAGGCAGCAUACCGGCGCGCAACUGACGCUCAGGCACGAAAGCGUGGGUAUCGAACAGGAUUAGAUACCCUUGUAGUC
This 459-nucleotide ribosomal RNA is filed under the name uncultured bacterium. RNAcentral's name for it is "partial 16S ribosomal RNA". It matches the Rfam family "Bacterial small subunit ribosomal RNA", at positions 338 to 795 of the family's 1533-position model. The record is from RNAcentral.